AGUGAACGCUGGCGGUAGGCCUAACACAUGCAAGUCGAACGGCAGCACAGUAAGAGCUUGCUCUUACGGGUGGCGGGUGGCGGACGGGUGAGGAAUACAUCGGAAUCUACUUUUUCGUGGGGGAUAACGGAGGGAAACUUACGCUAAUACCGCAUACGAUCUACGGGUGAAAGCAGGGGAUCUUCGCACCUUGCGCGAUUGAAUGAGCCGAUGUCGGAUUAGCUAGUUGGCGGGGUAAAGGCCCACCAAGGCGACGAUCCGUAGCUGGUCUGAGAGGAUGAUCAGCCACACUGGAACUGAGACACGGUCCAGGCUCCUACGGGAGGCAGCAGUAGGGAAUAUUGGACAAUGGGCGCAAGCCUGAUCCAGCCAUACCGCGUGGGUGAAGAAGGCCUUCGGGUCGUAAAGCCCUUUUGUUGGGAAAGAACAGCUGUAGGUUAAUACGCCGCUGUUCUGACGGUACCCAAUGAAUAAGCACCGGCUAACUACGUG
RNAcentral lists this ribosomal RNA (492 nucleotides) under uncultured bacterium. RNAcentral's name for it is "partial 16S ribosomal RNA". It matches the Rfam family "Bacterial small subunit ribosomal RNA", at positions 29 to 507 of the family's 1533-position model. The record is from RNAcentral.